RNAcentral lists this ribosomal RNA (465 nucleotides) under Vreelandella stevensii. RNAcentral's name for it is "partial 16S ribosomal RNA". It matches the Rfam family "Bacterial small subunit ribosomal RNA", at positions 338 to 795 of the family's 1533-position model. Lineage: Bacteria; Pseudomonadati; Pseudomonadota; Gammaproteobacteria; Oceanospirillales; Halomonadaceae. The record is from RNAcentral.
CCUACGGGCGGCUGCAGUGGGGAAUAUUGGACAAUGGGCGAAAGCCUGAUCCAGCCAUGCCGCGUGUGUGAAGAAGGCCUUCGGGUUGUAAAGCACUUUCAGUGGGGAAGAAAGCCUUGGGGCUAAUACCCUCGAGGAAGGACAUCACCCACAGAAGAAGCACCGGCUAACUCCGUGCCAGCAGCCGCGGUAAUACGGAGGGUGCGAGCGUUAAUCGGAAUUACUGGGCGUAAAGCGCGCGUAGGCGGUCUGAUAAGCCGGUUGUGAAAGCCCCGGGCUCAACCUGGGAACGGCAUCCGGAACUGUCAGGCUAGAGUGCAGGAGAGGAAGGUAGAAUUCCCGGUGUAGCGGUGAAAUGCGUAGAGAUCAGGAGGAAUACCAGUGGCGAAGGCGGCCUUCUGGACUGACACUGACGCUGAGGUGCGAAAGCGUGGGUAGCAAACAGGAUUAGAUACCCUUGUAGUC